AACGAACGCUGGCGGCAUGCCUAACACAUGCAAGUCGAACGAGACCUUCGGGUCUAGUGGCGCACGGGUGCGUACCGCGUGGGAACCUGCCCUUAGGUUCGGCAUAACUCCCCGAACGGGGUGCUAAUACCUGGUCAUGUCUUCGGACCAAAGAUUUAUCGCCUUUGGAUGGGCCCGCGUUGGAUUAACUAGUUGGUAGGGUCAAAGCCUACCAAGGCGACGCUCCAUGGCUGGUCUGAGAGAAGGAGCAGCCACCCUGGCCCUCAGGCCCGGCCGGGACUCCUACGCGAGGCCGGAGUGUGUUAGAUUGGACAGAAGACGGAAGGGUGAGGCCGCACUGCCGCGAGAGUGAUGAAGGCCUUAGGGUUGGAAAGCUAUGAAGGCUGAGAGGAUAGUGACAGUACCUGGAGGGCAAGACACGGGGAACUCAGUG
RNAcentral lists this ribosomal RNA (433 nucleotides) under uncultured bacterium. RNAcentral's name for it is "partial 16S ribosomal RNA". It matches the Rfam family "Bacterial small subunit ribosomal RNA", at positions 29 to 507 of the family's 1533-position model. The record is from RNAcentral.